GCUGCCGAGUCUCUGAGUCCAUCACUUCAGUACUGAGCCUGUUUAUAGGGUUUUGGUUUUGACUCCUGCUACUCGCUCUGAUUUUUCGGAGUAUGGAUGCCUGUGAUGACGAUGAGUAUCGGAAUGCCUCUAACAAAGACACUUCGUACUUGCGACCUGCCUCAGCCCCUACGUUACAAGAAGGCUAAAGCAUCUGCCGUGAAACUUGUUCGCUCUGACCUUUUGACAUUUGAAUGGUCAUGGAGAACAGGUCCAGAUCCUCCUCACACAUGUGCAGCGCUCCUGUAACGUUCUCCAGCUGAUCACAGUAGGCUAAUCAAACAUUAAAGUGCAUCUAAUUGAAAAAGCUAUCCGCCAGCAUAUGCUCCUCUCCCUGAACAGAACAGAUGGGUCUUAAUUCCAGUCCCCGAACUCCACUUUGAACAGUGCUCUAAAUCUGCAUAUCAUGGUGAACGUGAUCUCCACUUGGCUUCUUUGGCUUGUUUGUUUGGGCAGAAGGUGGUAUUGUACUUUAUUUAACGUCUGGCUCAGCUCUACUACUAACUGCACUUUUUUUUUUUUUUUUUACAGUAUAAAUACUCAGGUGUUUCAUCUAGUCUGUUUCUGUAUACUGGUGUAAGGCUGUAGUUUAGAGUGCAUUUAUAGCUGUGAAUAUCAUUACAUUUGUUUGUGUGGAGCAAAUCGAACCUUAAAGUCAAAGUAAUCAGUUACAGUAGAGUGAAAUUGAAUGUACUGAAGUAUAACACAUGUCUGUUUUUUUAACCUUUUACAUUCACUUAAAUACAUUAAUAUAUCCUA
This is a long non-coding RNA of Pygocentrus nattereri (red-bellied piranha), 798 nucleotides long. RefSeq lists it as uncharacterized. NCBI's taxonomy places the organism in Eukaryota, Metazoa, Chordata, Actinopteri, Characiformes, Serrasalmidae. The transcript has 3 exons. The record is from RefSeq and is a predicted model, not a curated record.